RNAcentral lists this ribosomal RNA (497 nucleotides) under uncultured bacterium. RNAcentral's name for it is "partial 16S ribosomal RNA". It matches the Rfam family "Bacterial small subunit ribosomal RNA", at positions 28 to 507 of the family's 1533-position model. The record is from RNAcentral.
GAUGAACGCUGGCGGCGUGCCUAAUACAUGCCAGUCGAGCGAACAGAUGAGGAGCUUGCUCCUCUGACGUUAGCGGCGGACGGGUGAGUAACACGUGGAUAACCUACCUAUAAGACUGGGAUAACUUCGGGAAACCGGAGCUAAUACCGGAUAAUAUAUUGAACCGCAUGGUUCAAUAGUGAAAGACGGUUUUGCUGUCACUUAUAGAUGGAUCCGUGCCGCAUUAGCUAGUUGGUAAGGUAACGGCUUACCAAGGCAACGAUGCGUAGCCGACCUGAGAGGGUGAUCGGCCACACUGGAACUGAGACACGGUCCAGACUCCUACGGGAGGCAGCAGUAGGGAAUCUUCCGCAAUGGGCGAAAGCUUGACGGAGCAACGCCGCGUGAGUGAUGAAGGUCUUCGGAUCGUAAAACUCUGUUAUUAGGGAAGAACAAAUGUGUAAGUAACUAUGCACGUCUUGACGGUACCUAAUCAGAAAGCCACGGCUAACUACGUG